GGAAGUGUAGCUCAGUAAUAGAGUGUGUACCUAGCAUGCAUGGGCCCUGAGUUCGAUCCCCAGCACCACCA
RNAcentral lists this transfer RNA (71 nucleotides) under Heterocephalus glaber (naked mole-rat). It matches the Rfam family "tRNA". Rfam says of the family: Transfer RNA (tRNA) molecules are approximately 80 nucleotides in length. Lineage: Eukaryota; Metazoa; Chordata; Mammalia; Rodentia; Bathyergidae. The record is from Rfam by way of RNAcentral.